Molecule: ribosomal RNA, 375 nt
Filed under: uncultured eukaryote
Lineage: Eukaryota
Description: SSU rRNA
Rfam family: Eukaryotic small subunit ribosomal RNA
Source: RNAcentral
AGCUCCAAUAGCGUAUAUUAACGUUGUUGCAGUUAAAAGCUCGUAGUUGGAUUUCGAGGCCUGGGUGGCUGUCACCCUAUGGGUAGGCGGGCCGCCUGGGUCUCUUAUUUCCGGGGACGGCGUCACUUUUAAUUAAGGGGCGUUCGGACGCGGAUCGUUUACUUUGAAAAAUUAGAGUGUUCAAAGCAGGCCUUCGCUUGAAUACAUUAGCAUGGAAUAAUGGAAUAGGACUCUGGGCCUAUUUUGUUGGUUUCUGGGACUAGAGUAAUGAUUAAUAGGGACAGUUGGGGGCGUUCAUAUUCCGAUGUCAGAGGUGAAAUUCUUGGAUUUUCGGAAGAUGAACUUCUGCGAAAGCAUUCGCCAAGGAUGUUUUCA